GAUGCUGACUGACCUGAAUACUUGCAACAAUUUCUGUUUUCAACAGCUGCAUCACUAACACUUUUAGACAAUUGUAUGCACACGUCAGGCACGUGUAUGGGGGAAAUCAUCACCAAAAAUAUUCCAGGGGCCCAGAAAUAUCAUUUGGUUGUCUUUCUACAGUUGCUGGCUGAUCUGCUGAGUGUUUUCAGCAUUUUCUGUCUUCACUUCAAACUUCCAGAUAAUUGAAAAUUGCAAAUAAGCACUGUCUGAGAAAAUGGACAACAUCGGGCUUCGUGCAAUUCAAGGGCUUAUCACCCGAGGAGGUCCACGAGGACAUUAUUGCAACACUAGGGGAGGGUGAAAAAUAAAUGUGCUAGUUUUUCUAAAACUGACUCCUUCUACCCUGGGCCAUGAACAUCAAUCACCCCUCAUAUAUAUGUACAGUCAGAUGCUGAUAAACCAGGGCUCUAUUUGACUCAAGUGUGUGUUCUUUCAAUAUCACUUAUUAGGUUUAGAGUACUAGUUGACCCUUCUGUUGCUGAAAUAAAA
Long non-coding RNA from Hypanus sabinus (Atlantic stingray), 531 nucleotides. RefSeq lists it as uncharacterized. Lineage: Eukaryota; Metazoa; Chordata; Chondrichthyes; Myliobatiformes; Dasyatidae. The transcript has 3 exons. The record is from RefSeq and is a predicted model, not a curated record.